GCUAAGAGACUAGAAUGAGACGCAACCCUAUCAGUUUGUUGGUAGUGUAACGGACUACCAAGACUAUGACGGGUGACGGGAAAUCAGUGUUUGAUUCCGGAGAGGGAGCCUGAGAGAUGGCUCCCACGUCCAAGGAUGGCAGCAGGCGCGAAAAUUGUCCACUCUUUGUUGAGGAGACAGUUAUGAGGCGUGAUUGUAAGAGCGAAGAGUAAACAUCUUUGUGUAAUGCAACUAGAGGGCAAGUUUUGGUGCCAGCAGCCGCGGUAACUCCAACUCUAGAAGUGCCUAUUGUGGAUGCUGCAGUUAAAAAGUCCGUAGUCGUUGAUGCAAUUAAAAGGUGUAGAUCAAGUGCACCAAGUUUGUUAGUUGUGGCGGAGCGGACAGGGAGCAUGGUAUAGGUUGGCGAAGAAUGAAAUCUCAAGACCCAACCUGGACCAACUGAGGCGAAAGCGGUGCUCUUGUACGCGUCUGUGGAUCAAGGACGAAGGCUAGAGGAUCGAAAGUGAUUAGACACCGCUGUAGUUCUAGCAGUAAACUAUGCCGACAUUCUCUGUUGUUGAGACGGGGAGGGGAGAAAUCUUAGUUUUCGGGCUCUGGGGAUAGUACGCUUGCAAGAGUGAAACUUAAAGCGAAAUUGACGGAAGAUCACCACAAGGAGUGGAUUGUACUGCUUAAUUUGACUCAACACGGGAAAACUUACCAGGGCCAAGUCUCUCGUAGAUUGGCGACAUGAGAGGGGCAAGAGUGGUGCAUGGCCGUUGGAAAUUGAUGGGAUGACCUUUAGCUUAAGUGCUGUAACCAGUGAGAUCUUCUAGACAGGUGUCUUACUGACACAGGAAGGAGAAGGCUAUAACAGGUCCGUGAUGCCCUCAGAUGCCCUGGGCCGCAAGUGCAAUACAAUAUCCGUUUGAGCGACAUAAAUAUGCUUACGGAUGAGUAGGAUUAGCUCUUGU
Molecule: ribosomal RNA, 953 nt
Filed under: Paranucleospora theridion
Lineage: Eukaryota; Fungi; Microsporidia; Enterocytozoonidae
Description: SSU rRNA
Rfam family: Microsporidia small subunit ribosomal RNA
Source: RNAcentral